This 1220-nucleotide long non-coding RNA is filed under the name Homo sapiens (human). RNAcentral's name for it is "non-protein coding lnc-ZFYVE1-1:5". The record is from RNAcentral. Lineage: Eukaryota; Metazoa; Chordata; Mammalia; Primates; Hominidae.
GCUUUUCCUCCUCCACCAGCUGAGGCACCCGGUCUCCCGGUUUCCACACGCGUUCAGAGACACAAACUCACCCGCCGCUGAGGAAACGGUACUGCCUUCGCGACCUUCUGGGAUCCAGGUUACGAGUGCGCUCCACUGGUUCGAGAUUUCUGCCCGUCGCUCGCCAGGGAGACUGAGUGCCCAAGCGCCUACUCGCACAGGCCGCAAAUACAGCCGCGCUGCGCGGCGAGCUGAUGGAGGUCUUCCUCUUGCCCGGCGUGCACUGCGGCCGGGGGCGGGGAGCGCGGAACCAUAGAGAAGAACGUAUAUAGAUCGUCUCCGCUGUUGGCUCUGACUCACCAAGCCGAGACGAAUAACCAUAGAGAAGCAGCGUCUAGCGGUUACUAGAAAGGCCCGAACUGUAAAUUAUGACCCACCAUGUUUGAUUGGAGCCGACUGAAUCUUACGACUACGGGACGCCAUCUUGAGGUCAAGGUUCCGGCUGGGCACGGCGCGAGGAGUGUUAGAGGCUUUCUCACUUUUCGUAGUUUUUCGGGGGGUGGAACCUUGCUUUGUGAUUCCUUGAGGUUCGAGGAACUGAUAACUGGGCGCGAUCUGCAACCUUAGUGUUAAACCCCAAGUGCUGUUAUAACAACUACUCGAGAUCAACAAAUAAUUGGCAAAGGCUGUGGAGGUUUUUUGAAAAGCAAAAGCUUAUGCGUAGUUGUAGGGCCAAAGAGGUGGCUAGAAGAUGUUUGGAAAAACGUGAAAAGUCCUGUAAUACUAGUUAACACAGCUUUCGUUCUGUAAUCUAAACGUGCUAAAAGAACUUAGCUUAAGUUAAUGGAAAUGAAUAAAAUUAAUCAUAAAUGAUUACGUUAUUCCAAUUGUGGACCUUAUAGGCAAUAUCUAGUUACACGCCUUUCUCAACUGCUUGCCUCUAGGAAGGCAUAAAACGGAUUCAGUAUAAAGUUAUUGCCUCCCUGAGUUCCUGGUGCUGUGUUAAGUGCUGGAAGUAUGAAGGCAAAUGGAAGUGAGAUUUGUUCCUGUCCUGCAAGAACUGUGAGCCAGGUGAAAUAGAUGACAAACCAUGACCAGCCUAAUAUAAAAUUGAAACAUACUACACACUUCCUGCCUGCCUCCCCUACUUAAUUUUACUCUAAAGCACUCAUAACCAUCUAUCAUAACAUACAUUUUUCUUGCUGAUUUUAUGGUCCGUCACUACCCCCACUAGAAUGUGA